GUGGGGAAUCUUGCGCAAUGGGCGAAAGCCUGACGCAGCCAUGCCGCGUGGAUGAUGAAGGUCUUAGGAUUGUAAAAUCCUUCCACCGGUGAAGAUAAUGACUGUAGCCGGAGAAGAAGCCCCGGCUAACUUCGUGCCAGCAGCCGCGGUAAUACGAAGGGGGCUAGCGUUGCUCGGAUUUACUGGGCGUAAAGGGCGCGUAGGCGGACAUUUAAGUCAGGGGUGAAAUCCCGGGGCUCAACCUCGGAACUGCCUUUGAUACUGGGUGUCUUGAGUAUGAGGGAGGUGUGUGGAACUCCGAGUGUAGAGGUGAAAUUCGUAGAUAUUCGGAAGAACACCAGUGGCGAAGGCGACACACUGGCUCAUUACUGACGCUGAGGCGCGAAAGCGUGGGGAGCAAACAGGAUUAGAUACCCGGGUAGUCC
Molecule: ribosomal RNA, 425 nt
Filed under: uncultured bacterium
Lineage: Bacteria
Description: partial 16S ribosomal RNA
Rfam family: Bacterial small subunit ribosomal RNA
Source: RNAcentral